Polyodon spathula (Mississippi paddlefish) is the source of this 780-nucleotide long non-coding RNA. RefSeq lists it as uncharacterized. The transcript has 2 exons. NCBI's taxonomy places the organism in Eukaryota, Metazoa, Chordata, Actinopteri, Acipenseriformes, Polyodontidae. The record is from RefSeq and is a predicted model, not a curated record.
UGUGUAUUGACUGUCAUUCUCUCUCUCUGUCCCCGUCUGUUCCCCAGUGCUCUGGACUUGGAUGACUGUCCCCUCCCGAAACUUAGUGCCCUGGAGUAGCAGGACAGCUGAGCGCCGCCCUGCUGCCCUGAUAAGCAGCUUCUUGUCCCACCCCCUGGAUUCAAAAGCCUUCCUAGACCCACCCCUCUGUCUGAUUGGAUGAUGAUGAUGAGGCUCACCGCACUCGCACACUCCACUGACCCCGCCCCCAGAUUGAUAAGUCGGACUGGCUGGCUUCAGAUUGGUCAGCAGCUCCUGUUUCAAUUGGACACGCCAGGCAGCAUCGCUACUUUUCAACUUUUCUUAUUUCAGGGUUCACAGCAUGCUGUAACAAAUCCCUCCCCUUCUAGAGUGCCUGAUUGGUUCUUCCUUGGGACACUUUGUUAAUUACACAGCAGCUUUCACUGCUCUGUUUGGGUGGGCGGAGCUAUCCACAGAGACCCAAAGGAAAGCGACAGGUUUGAUUGACACCCGUUCAGUUUGAUUUUCCUCAGCUUGGAUAUCUCCUCCCCGGCUGCAUUCGCAGAGAUUAAUCAGCAACGCUCCAGCGACCCACAGCACAGUCAUUGAGAACGAAGACAUUGAUCAGCAAAGCACCAGCAACCCACAGCACAGUCAUUGAGAACGAAGGCAUUGAUCAGCAAAGCACCAGCAACCCACAGCACAGUCAUUGAGAACGAAGGCAUUGAUCAGCAAAGCACCAGCAACCCACAGCACAGUCAUUGAGAACGAAGGCAUUGA